GAUGAAGAUGAAUCCCCAAGCGCCGGGAUGGAACACGAGGUUGACUGCUCUCUGCAUUCGUAAAAUUGAUGCUAUAUGUAGCUGUUUUGCGGGCUUAGGAUUGGUACCGCCGCUCCUAGAAGAACACCGUGCCCAAAUUGUAUCAGUGCGUUCGAGAAGGCAGCUAGAUGCUCGCAGAGAACCUAGCUGAAAACGUGAUCACACCGGUUCUUGGUCCUACUUUCAACUCUUAGGCAGAGGUGUACAACUUCUACAAUCUGUACUCAUGGGAGAAGGGGUUUGGCAUCUGGUAUGGGAAGAGCCGGCUAAAUGCCGAGAGGACAAAGUGCAUCCAGGAGAUAGUGUGUGGGUGCUCGGGUGAAGCUCGUGUUGAGAACACAAGGUCCUGGAGGUGACGAGUUUGAAACUUUGAAUGCGAAUGUGGUGCUCGAUUUCAUCAGAAUAAAAGAAAUUCCACAGAAGCACAUAGUUAAUAGGUGGACCAGAGAUGCAAGGUAUAUUCUGCCUGCUCACCUUACACAAUAUCAGAGGGACUAUGCUCACAAGAAUCCAUUCAGUUUUACGCAUUUCACUGUGUGCUUCCUUAGUGUAUGGGGCCAAAAAAUGUUUGUCGGACUAGUGUGUCCGUCAUCAUUUUCGACGUUGUAAUUCUGAACUUAUCCUGAUUCCAUGUUUGAUAAAACCCAUUAUGGUUUGUGAAUCCAUGUUCUCAGGAUUUCCUAGGAUUAUGACUAUCCAAGGAAAGAGUUUGACAUGCUAGUACUGUUCCUGAAUUUUCGCUGAAGUGUGAUGCCUGCCUUGGAUAUUUGAUGAGCGUAACUCUAGAUUUAUACAUAUUUGAAUUCUUGGGUAAUACUCCCUCUGUCCCAUAAUAUAAGAAUGUUUUUUAAGCUAACAUAGCUUGAAAAACGUUCUUAUACUGUGGGACGGAGGGAGUACUAAGUUUUCUGAAUAUGUAACAUUGAAUUUAUACAGUCUUGUAAUUGUAAGUUUUCUGAAUAUGUAACCCUGAAUUUAUAGUCUUGCUGCGUGUGCACUGCUGAGCAAUAUGCAACAGUUCAUGCAAAUGCAUCCAAUGUGGUUCAGUUUUUCAUCCUGGCUGUUGGGGACGAUUGUGUCUCUAGUGUUGCUUGUUCAUUGGUGCAUAAUAUUUAAUGGCAGUAACUUGGGAGGUUGCAUUGCUGGUAAGUGUAAGCAUGCCGCAGGUGGCACGCUCUCGAUGGUUCCAUCUGAUUUGAAUUUCGAAAGACUAGAGCAUGAGAAGCAGAGGCUGUCUUACAUAAACGGGAGCAGAGUAGCCGCUGGAGUUUGUCUCACCUCCAGCAAUUGCUAGGAAGCAAAUUGGCGUGGCUCCUUCAAAGCUAUCUGGAUCUGGAUCGACCAUAAUAGAGUCUGAUGCGAACUCGAAGCUGUUCGAGGUAGCUCUGAGAGUACCAUGAACCAAGCUGUAGGAUCAGAGCUUGAGAUCGGCUGGAUCUUCUGGUGUUUAUGCUCCAUGUGAUCAUGUAUGCAUCACGUUCUGGCAGGAGUGUCUUAGUUUGGAUCUUCUCCUUCGCUGCAUAUGGCUGCUGAAUGUUUUUUUAAGGUAUUUUUUUUAUAGAAG
Molecule: long non-coding RNA, 1603 nt
Organism: Triticum dicoccoides
Lineage: Eukaryota; Viridiplantae; Streptophyta; Magnoliopsida; Poales; Poaceae
Exons: 5
Source: RefSeq, a predicted model, not a curated record